This 171-nucleotide ribosomal RNA is filed under the name uncultured bacterium. RNAcentral describes it as "partial 16S ribosomal RNA". It matches the Rfam family "Bacterial small subunit ribosomal RNA", at positions 337 to 522 of the family's 1533-position model. The record is from RNAcentral.
UCCUACGGGAGGCAGCAGUGGGGAAUAUUGGGCAAUGGGGGAAACCCUGACCCAGCAACGCCGCGUGAAGGAAGAAGGCUUUCGGGUUGUAAACUUCUUUUAGCAGGGACGAAGGACGUGACGGUACCUACAGAAAAAGCAACGGCUAACUACGUGCCAGCAGCCGCGGUA